Long non-coding RNA from Planococcus citri (citrus mealybug), 627 nucleotides. RefSeq lists it as uncharacterized. NCBI's taxonomy places the organism in Eukaryota, Metazoa, Arthropoda, Insecta, Hemiptera, Pseudococcidae. The record is from RefSeq and is a predicted model, not a curated record. The transcript has 2 exons.
CAAAAAACGAACGUACAAAGAACAGAAGUUGAGAUUUUUCAGAGAAAAAGAUUAUUUAUCUAAGUAAAUAAACUUAUUAUCGUAUUUCUGCUAAAAUGUAAUUUCCAACACAAUUACUCAUCGAAUUUUCGCCAUUGAAAACAUUUUAUCGCCAACGUUUACACCCUAUAAAUAGUGGUAUCUUGGCCGGUGAAAUUUAGAAAGAAUUAACCAUCGUUUGAUUCGAGUCAAUCAUUGUCGCGAUUUACCAUAUAAAAUAUCUACGUUUAUUUCGUUCAACUGUUGCGUUGUCCAGAACUAUACAGAAUCUCGAAAUGGAAUUCUUAUACGAAAAAUCGUUAUUAUGCAACAUGCCUGACCCAGACCCACAACCAGAACCGGAACCGGAACCGGAACCAGAACCGGCACCAUCGGAAUAACCAGCUAACGAAAAAUGUCGAAAAUAUUUUUUCAAAGUCAACUAAACAAUAAGAUAGUUAAUAUGUAGGCUAUAAAAAUGUUUAUAGCAGAAUACGAUCAUUAUGUAUUGCUUGCCUUAUUUAAACAUCACAUCAGUUGUAUGAUAUUAUUUAAUUCACAUUUGAGUCAUUUCGACAAAUAAAUUCAUUUUGUUUGUUUAACAAAAUA